Molecule: long non-coding RNA, 206 nt
Filed under: Malus domestica (apple)
Lineage: Eukaryota; Viridiplantae; Streptophyta; Magnoliopsida; Rosales; Rosaceae
Description: long non-coding RNA (MDOM_LNC013490)
Source: RNAcentral
GCCUCUAGAGAAUGUAACCUCACAAUGAUAUGAUGUUGGCUUCAUUGCACUUAGUUAAGUCAUUCCCACCAUGCUUAGUGCGUGAAGGGGUUCAAGAAUAGCCUCACGAUGAUACGAUGUCGGCCAUCCUCGUUGCCUACACUCACCUCAUCAUAUGUGUAUGGAUUCCUGCUGAGUAUAAGCAUGCACUUUGUACUCCCCCAUGA